This 495-nucleotide ribosomal RNA is filed under the name uncultured bacterium. Its description in RNAcentral is "partial 16S ribosomal RNA". It matches the Rfam family "Bacterial small subunit ribosomal RNA", at positions 28 to 507 of the family's 1533-position model. The record is from RNAcentral.
GACGAACGCUGGCGGCGUGCCUAAUACAUGCAAGUAGAACGCUGAAGGAGGAGCUUGCUUCUCUGGAUGAGUUGCGAACGGGUGAGUAACGCGUAGGUAACCUGCCGGGUAGCGGGGGAUAACUAUUGGAAACGAUAGCUAAUACCGCAUAACAGUAGAUAUCGCAUGAUAUCUACUUGAAAGGUGCAAUUGCAUCACUACCAGAUGGACCUGCGUUGUAUUAGCUAGUUGGUGAGGUAACGGCUCACCAAGGCGACGAUACAUAGCCGACCUGAGAGGGUGAUCGGCCAAACUGGGACUGGAACACGGCCCAGACUCCUACGGGAGGCAGCAGUAGGGAAUCUUCGGCAAUGGACGGAAGGCUGACCGAGCAACGCCGCGUGAGUGAAGAAGGGUUUCGGAUCGUAAAGCUCUGUUGUAAGAGAAGAACGAGUGUGAGAGUGGAAAGUUCACACUGUGACGGUAUCUUACCAGAAAGGGACGGCUAACUACGUG